CCCUAGUACGGCGAGUGAAGCGGCAACAGCUCAAAUUUGAAAUCUGGCGUCUUUGGCGUCCGAGUUGUAAUUUGCAGAGGGCGCUUUGGCAUUGGCAGCGGUCCAAGUUCCUUGGAACAGGACGUCACAGAGGGUGAGAAUCCCGUACGUGGUCGCUAGCCUUUACCGUGUAAAGCCCCUUCGACGAGUCGAGUUGUUUGGGAAUGCAGCUCUAAAUGGGAGGUAAAUUUCUUCUAAAGCUAAAUACUGGCCAGAGACCGAUAGCGCACAAGUAGAGUGAUCGAAAGAUGAAAAGCACUUUGGAAAGAGAGUUAAAAAGCACGUGAAAUUGUUGAAAGGGAAGCGCUUGCAGCCAGACUUGCCUGUAGUUGCUCAUCCGGGUUUUUACCCGGUGCACUCUUCUAUAGGCAGGCCAGCAUCAGUUUGGGCGGUUGGAUAAAGGUCUCUGUCACGUACCUCCUCUCGGGGAGAACUUAUAGGGGAGACGUAAUGCAACCAGCCUGGACUGAGGUCCGCGCAUCUGCUAGGAUGCUGGCGUAAUGGCUGUAAGCGGCCCGUCUUGAAACACGGACCAAGGAGUCUAACAUCUAUGCGAGUGUUUGGGUGUCAAGCCCGAGCGCGUAAUGAAAGUGAACGGAGGUGGGAACCUUUCGGGGUGCACCAUCGACCGAUCCUGAUGUCUUCGGAUGGAUUUGAGUAAGAGCAUAGCUGUUGGGACCCGAAAGAUGGUGAACUAUGCUUGAAUAGGGUGAAGCCAGAGGAAACUCUGGUGGAGGCUCGCAGCGGUUCUGACGUGCAAAUCGAUCGUCAAAUUUGGGCAUAGGGGCGAAAGACUAAUCGAACUAUCUAGUAGCUGGUUCCUGCCGAAGUUUCCCUCAGGAUAGCAGUAACGUUUUCAGUUUUAUGAGGUAAAGCGAAUGAUUAGAGGCCUGGGGGUUGAAACAACCUUCACCUAUUCUCAAACUUUAAAUAUGUAAGAAGUCCUUGUUACUUAAUUGAACGUGGACAGUUGAAUGUAUCGUUACUAGUGGGCCAUUUUUGGUAAGCAGAACUGGCGAUGCGGGAUGAACCGAACGCGGGGUUAAGGUGCCAGAAUAUACGCUCAUCAGACACCACAAAAGGUGUUAGUUCAUCUAGACAGCAGGACGGUGGCCAUGGAAGUCGGAAUCCGCUAAGGAGUGUGUAACAACUCACCUGCCGAAUGAACUAGCCCUGAAAAUGGAUGGCGCUCAAGCGUAUUACCCAUACCCCGCCGCUGGGGCAAGAUUUAAGCCCCAGCGAGUAGGCAGGCGUGGAGGUCCGUGACGAAGCCU
RNAcentral lists this ribosomal RNA (1313 nucleotides) under Didymella sp. YH-2018h. Its description in RNAcentral is "partial large subunit ribosomal RNA". It matches the Rfam family "Eukaryotic large subunit ribosomal RNA", at positions 78 to 1411 of the family's 3401-position model. Lineage: Eukaryota; Fungi; Ascomycota; Dothideomycetes; Pleosporales; Didymellaceae. The record is from RNAcentral.